CACAUGCAAGUCGAGCGGAGACAGUGAGUAGCUUGCUAUGAGCUGUUUUAGCGGCGGACGGGUGAGUAACGCGUGAGCAACCUUUCCCAGACAGGGGAAUAACACACCGAAAGGUGUACUAAUACCGCAUAAGACCACGGAAUCACAUGGUUCUGAGGUAAAAGAUUUAUCGGUUUGGGGUGGGCUCGCGUCCGAUUAGGUAGUUGGUGAGGUAACGGCCCACCAAGCCGACGAUCGGUAGCCGACCUGAGAGGGUGAUCGGCCACAUUGGGACUGAGACACGGCCCAAACUCCUACGGGAGGCAGCAGUGGGGAAUAUUGGGCAAUGGAGGAAACUCUGACCCAGCAACGCCGCGUGGAGGAAGAAGGUUUUCGGAUCGUAAACUCCUGUCCUUGGAGACGAGUAGAAGACGGUAUCCAAGGAGGAAGCCCCGGCUAACUACGUGCCAGCAGCCGCGGUAAUACGUAGGGGGCAAGCGUUGUCCGGAAUAAUUGGGCGUAAAGGGCGCGUAGGCGGCUCGGUAAGUCUGGAGUGAAAGUCCUGCUUUUAAGGUGGGAAUUGCUUUGGAUACUGUCGGGCUUGAGUGCAGGAGAGGUUAGUGGAAUUCCCAGUGUAGCGGUGAAAUGCGUAGAGAUUGGGAGGAACACCAGUGGCGAAGGCGACUAACUGGACUGUAACUGACGCUGAGGCGCGAAAGUGUGGGGAGCAAACAGGAUUAGAUACCCUGGUAGUCCACACUGUAAACGAUGAAUGCUAGGUGUAGGGGGUAUCGACCCCUUCUGUGCCGCAGUCAACACAAUAAGCAUUCCGCCGGGGGAGUACGGCCGCAAGGUUGAAACUCAAAGGAAUUGACGG
Molecule: ribosomal RNA, 856 nt
Filed under: uncultured bacterium
Lineage: Bacteria
Description: bacterial SSU rRNA
Rfam family: Bacterial small subunit ribosomal RNA
Source: RNAcentral